Molecule: ribosomal RNA, 439 nt
Filed under: uncultured bacterium
Lineage: Bacteria
Description: partial 16S ribosomal RNA
Rfam family: Bacterial small subunit ribosomal RNA
Source: RNAcentral
CUACGGGAUGCAGCAGUGGGGAAUAUUGCACAAUGGGGGAAACCCUGAUGCAGCAACGCCGCGUGGAGGAUGACGCAUUUCGGUGUGUAAACUCCUUUUAUAUCCCAAGAUAAUGACGGUAGGAUAUGAAUAAGCACCGGCUAACUCCGUGCCAGCAGCCGCGGUAAUACGGAGGGUGCAAGCGUUACUCGGAAUCACUGGGCGUAAAGGGCGCGUAGGCGGGUUGUCAAGUCUUGAGUGAAAUCCAACGGCUCAACCGUUGAACUGCUUGAGAAACUGGCAGCCUAGAGUGAGGGAGAGGUAGAUGGAAUUGGUGGUGUAGGGGUAAAAUCCGUAGAGAUCACCAGGAAUACCCAUUGCGAAGGUGAUCUGCUGGAACUCUACUGACGCUGAGGCGCGAAAGCGUGGGGAGCAAACAGGAUUAGAUACCCCAGUAGUC